UACGGGGGGGGCAAGCGUUGUUCGGAAUUACUGGGCGUAAAGCGUGCGCAGGCGGUUUGCUAAGACAGGUGUGAAAUCCCCGGGCUUAACCUGGGAACUGCGCUUGUAACUGGCAAGCUGGAGUGUGGCAGAGGGGGGUGGAAUUCCACGUGUAGCAGUGAAAUGCGUAGAGAUGUGGAGGAACACCGAUGGCGAAGGCAGCCCCCUGGGCUAACACUGACGCUCAGGCACGAAAGCGUGGGGAGCAAACAGG
RNAcentral lists this ribosomal RNA (253 nucleotides) under uncultured bacterium. RNAcentral's name for it is "partial 16S ribosomal RNA". It matches the Rfam family "Bacterial small subunit ribosomal RNA", at positions 524 to 776 of the family's 1533-position model. The record is from RNAcentral.